GUAUCAUGGUGAUUGUAAAUAUAUCACUGACUGACUUGACUUUCAAUGUUUGUGAGCCUGAGGUCUUGGUGAUGAAUGAAUUGUUUUGGAAGUAAUGUUUGUGAGCCUAGUCUUGUCCUCCAUGUUGAUCAAAAAAUUUCAGAAAAAUCUUGAUCUGAAAGUAAUUGGUACAGGGUAUUUGGAAGUUAUGUUGGAAUACAAACUCAAAUGCUAAUGAACAACAAGCAAGCAAACAACUGUAAGAUGCCUGGUGGUAAAAAUAUAGCAAUAAAGCGAUACUAUUUUUUUCAACCAAUAACAAUUCACCUUCAGAUUUUUUCAGUGGCCCUUGACAGCAGC
RNAcentral lists this long non-coding RNA (339 nucleotides) under Elaeis guineensis (African oil palm). Its description in RNAcentral is "long non-coding RNA (EGUI_LNC071391)". Lineage: Eukaryota; Viridiplantae; Streptophyta; Magnoliopsida; Arecales; Arecaceae. The record is from RNAcentral.